RNAcentral lists this ribosomal RNA (403 nucleotides) under bacterium. RNAcentral's name for it is "partial 16S ribosomal RNA". It matches the Rfam family "Bacterial small subunit ribosomal RNA", at positions 355 to 776 of the family's 1533-position model. The record is from RNAcentral.
UGGGGAAUAUUGGACAAUGGGCGAAAGCCUGAUCCAGCAAUGCCGCGUGAGUGAAGAAGGCCUUAGGGUUGUAAAGCUCUUUCACCCGCGACGAUGAUGACGGUAGCGGGAGAAGAAGCCCCGGCUAAUUCCGUGCCAGCAGCCGCGGUAAUACGGAAGGGGCUAGCGUUGUUCGGAAUCACUGGGCGUAAAGCGCGCGUAGGCGGCCGGUCAAGUGCGGCGUGAAAGUCCUGGGCUCAACCCGGGGACGGCGCUGCGGACUGUCCGGCUGGAGUCCGGAAGAGGGUGGUGGAAUUCCGAGUGUAGAGGUGAAAUUCGUAGAUAUUCGGAGGAACACCGGUGGCAAGGCGGCCACCUGGUCCGGUACUGACGCUCAAGCGCGAAAGCGUGGGGAGCAAACAGG